RNAcentral lists this non-coding RNA (49 nucleotides) under Extubocellulus spinifer. The record is from RNAcentral. Lineage: Eukaryota; Bacillariophyta; Thalassiosirophyceae; Cymatosirales; Cymatosiraceae.
GGAGGAAAUUCCACUCCUGACGACCGACUUCGAGCCAAGAUGCAGCAAG